CCAGACUCCUACGGGAGGCAGCAGUGGGGAAUAUUGCACAAUGGGGGAAACCCUGAUGCAGCGACGCCGCGUGAGCGAUGAAGUAUUUCGGUAUGUAAAGCUCUAUCAGCAGGGAAGAAAAUGACGGUACCUGACUAAGAAGCCCCGGCUAACUACGUGCCAGCAGCCGCGGUAAUACGUAGGUGGCAAGCGUUAUCCGGAUUUAUUGGGUGUAAAGGGCGUGUAGGCGGGAAUGCAAGUCAGAUGUGAAAACUAUGGGCUCAACCCAUAGCCUGCAUUUGAAACUGUCAGGCUGGAGUGCAGGAGAGGUAAGUGGAAUUCCUAGUGUAGCGGUGAAAUGCGUAGAUAUUAGGAGGAACACCAGUGGCGAAGGCGGCUUACUGGACUGUAACUGACGUUGAGGCUCGAAAGCGUGGGGAGCAAACAGGAUUAGAUACCCGAGUA
RNAcentral lists this ribosomal RNA (444 nucleotides) under uncultured bacterium. RNAcentral's name for it is "bacterial SSU rRNA". It matches the Rfam family "Bacterial small subunit ribosomal RNA", at positions 331 to 792 of the family's 1533-position model. The record is from RNAcentral.